RNAcentral lists this ribosomal RNA (253 nucleotides) under uncultured bacterium. RNAcentral describes it as "partial 16S ribosomal RNA". It matches the Rfam family "Bacterial small subunit ribosomal RNA", at positions 524 to 776 of the family's 1533-position model. The record is from RNAcentral.
UACGUAGGGUGCAAGCGUUGUCCGGAAUUAUUGGGCGUAAAGAGCUCGUAGGCGGUCUGUCGCGUCUGCUGUGAAAACUCAGGGCUUAACCCCGAGCCUGCAGUGGAUACGGGCAGACUAGAGGUAGGUAGGGGAGAGUGGAAUUCCCGGUGUAGCGGUGAAAUGCGCAGAUAUCGGGAGGAACACCGGUGGCGAAGGCGGUUCUCUGGGCCUUAACUGACGCUGAGGAGCGAAAGCGUGGGGAGCGAACAGG